UAUGUAUUUAAGUUAAAGAAAUUUAAUCAAGUAGAAAAAUUUAGUCAAUUUAAGAUCCUUUUUUUUCUUAGUGCAGCAAUAUUUUCAACGCUUCAACAAUAUUGCUAUAAUGUUCUGUGCUGUAUGGAAUAAUAGUACAAUACAUAAUUAUAAUUACACAUUUUGUAUUCACAAAUUGUUGUAAAUAUAUAAAUAUAAUUACACUAUAACUGAAGAUAUUUAAAAAAUUAUACAAAAUCUCAUAUAAAAGAUAUCUCGCUAUGUUCUGAGGUAUUUUCUAUUUUUUCGAGAACGAAAAGUUUUAGCAACCUAAAAGACACUGAGAGAAAAAAUAUCUUAAAGCAAAAAAUUUUACUUAAGAGCAAAAAAUUAUUUACUCGGUGGGUCCCAAUAGCUCAUUUACCUGCAGUCAAGUUAAAAAUUUUUUAAUUGAUAUAUUUAUAGGUUUAAGAAAAUAUAUUUUUUCAUUAAAAAAUUUUUUUUCUCUCAGUGUAUCUUUUAUGUAACAUGAGAUAGCUGGAGAUAACUUGAAGAUAUCUUUUAAAAACCAAAAAGAAAUCUUGCGUGACAAAUAUUAAAAAUUUUAAAAACAUCUCAUAAAUAUCUCCUAUGAAAAAUGUUUAUAUAAACGUGUAUCCUAUGUAAUCUUAUUUCAGAGUUAUAGUCAUUUUUGUUCUUCAGUAAUGUGUAGCUGCUUAUCCUUCUCCUGGGAGGUAUUCAAAAUGAUUACUUCCGGUCCGUAUUUGUAAACAAUGUUUGAUAUUUUCUGGAUAUUUCCUACCUCGAUUUCGCACGUUCUAUUCAUUGAGCUUACUCAUUUCAGUUCGUUCUCUUGCUAGAGCGGUGUAGAGGUUUAUUAUUACUCUUGCAAAAAAACAGUAAUAAUAAUUACAGGAACGCCCAUGAGAUACAGGUUCGUUUAAAAGGCGAGUGGCUGAUGGUAGUAAACCAGUUAGUAUCAGAAUUGCUAAUCUUGAAGAACGGAUCUUGAAGAAAAUGAUGGCAACAGUACGUGAAGAAUAACAGCAAUACUGGAGAACAAAAAUGAUUAUAACUCUGAAACAAGAUCAAAUACAUGUUUACACGAA
This is a long non-coding RNA of Solenopsis invicta (red fire ant), 1088 nucleotides long. RefSeq lists it as uncharacterized. The transcript has 2 exons. The record is from RefSeq and is a predicted model, not a curated record. NCBI's taxonomy places the organism in Eukaryota, Metazoa, Arthropoda, Insecta, Hymenoptera, Formicidae.